CGGGUGAGUAACACGUAUCCAACCUGCCGUCUACUCUUGGCCAGCCUUCUGAAGGAAGAUUAAUCCAGGAUGGCAUCAUGAGUUCACAUGUCCGCAUGAUUAAAGGUAUUCCGGUAGACGAUGGGGAUGCGUUCCAUUAGAUAGUAGGCGGGGUAACGGCCCACCUAGUCUUCGAUGGAUAGGGGUUCUGAGAGGAAGGUCCCCCACAUUGGAACUGAGACACGGUCCAA
RNAcentral lists this ribosomal RNA (230 nucleotides) under uncultured bacterium. RNAcentral's name for it is "partial 16S ribosomal RNA". It matches the Rfam family "Bacterial small subunit ribosomal RNA", at positions 103 to 334 of the family's 1533-position model. The record is from RNAcentral.